RNAcentral lists this long non-coding RNA (599 nucleotides) under Struthio camelus australis. RNAcentral describes it as "lncRNA (ENSSCUG00000001989.1)". The record is from RNAcentral. Lineage: Eukaryota; Metazoa; Chordata; Aves; Struthioniformes; Struthionidae.
AGGGGGCAGCCGGCGUCCCCGGGGGUUUCGCAUCCGCGCUUCUGCGAGCGCGCUCGGCCUUGUAACAUGGCAACUCCAGUUUCCAGAACUAUAUAUGGAAUGUCUCAUGUGCCGGGAUCUCAUUUUGUAAGGGCUGCCUGGAUCCCUCCCCUGCAGUCUGCUAACCCCCCGGGAAGCGAGUUUGCCUUCUUCUGCAUUGGAAACCCUGCUCCUCACACCCUACGCUGCUUUGGUAUGCUAGAGUCAAAGAGCAAAAUACUGUCAGAGAAGUGUUUAACUGGUGAGUAUGGAGCAUAAAGAAACCAGGCAAUUUAUGAAGUACAUUUCAAAGCAAAAGUAAGGUAUUCUGCAAAAACUUUUUUCCAGGUAGAAAGCGGAGCACAUCAUGAAUACAAAAAGGCAUUCUUUUCCCAUGCAAGAUUUCUCUUCCAAACAUGAAAAUGCUAUGGAUCAGUCCCUGAAGCAGGCCACAUGCCGACACUUCACUCAGAAAGGCGGAGAGCUACUUCUGAAGAGGAAAAGACUGCAGUCUUCGCUGCCGUUGCUCUCGUUGAGAUCCUGCAGGAUUCCAAAUGGAGCGGCCUGAAUAUAUAGCCAUU